CGCCAUCGAAUGAGGCAAGACUACCCGCUGAACUUAAGCAUAUCACUAAGCGGAGGAGAAGAAACUAACCAGGAUGCCCCUAGUAAUGGCGAAUGAAGCGGGCUGAGCUCACGCUGCCAAUCUGGAGGCCUCGCGUAUGCAGCGCCCCCCGAAUUGUGGUCUAGAGAGGCGUUAUCGGCCGCGCCCGCCGCUCAAGUCCCUUGGAACAGGGUGUCGGAGAGGGUGAGAAUCCCGUACCGUGGCGGGUUGCGGCCUUACGAUGCGUCCUCGUCGAGUCGGGUUGCUUGGGAUUGCAGCUUGAAUUGGGUGGUAAAUUCCAUCUAAAGCUAAAUACUGGCGAGAGACCGAUAGCGAACAAGUACCGUGAGGGAAAGAUGCAAAGAACUUUGAAAAGAGAGUCAAAGAGUGCUUGAAAUCGGUAGGAGGAAACCCGGAUGGGCCCGGCUUCGGCGCGCCGACUCAGCCUGGGGUUCUCCCCAGGUGCACUUCUGCGCGCCGGGUCAGCCGCGCCUCGGCGCCGCGCCUCAACCCGGGAGCGGGGCUUUACGGCCAGCUCCCGUCCUGGCGCGGCCCGGGGCCCGGCUGACGGAACGGGCCCCUCCGACCCGUCUAGAAACACGGACCAAGGAGUCUGACACGUGUGCGAGUACCCGGGUGGCAAGCCCGCGUGCGGAAUGAAAGUGAAGGGCAUGCCCUGCCAACCGACCUUGACCUGCUGUGAGGGGUUUGAGUGGAGCACACCUGUCGGGACCCGAAAGAUGGUGAACUAUGCCUGGGUAGGGUGAAGCCAGAGGAAACUCUGGUGGAGGCUCGUAGCGAUACUGACGUGCAAAUCGUUCGUCGAAUCUGGGUAUAGGGGCGAAAGACUAAUCGAACCAUCUAGUAGCUGGUUCCCUCCGAAGUUUCCCUCAGGAUAGCUUGAACGCAACGGUUUUGUCAGGUAAAGCGAAUGAUUAGAGGCCUGUGGGCUGAAACAGCUUGCACCUAUUCUCAAACUUUAAAUGGGCAAGAGGCCCGGGAUGCUUGAGUGAUCCCGGGCGGCGAACGGCGCGUUCAAAGUGGGCCAUUUUUGGUAAGCAGAACUGGCGAUGCGGGAUGAACCGAACGCCGCGCUAAGGUACCCAAGUGUCCGCUCAUCAGAUACCACAAAAGGCGUUGGUACCUCCAGACAGCAGGACGGUGGCCAUGGAAGUCGGAACCCGCUAAGGAGUGUGUAACAACUCACCUGCCGAAGGUACUAGCCCUGAAAAUGGAUGGCGCUCAAGCGGACCACCGAUGCGCGGCCGCCGGCGCGAGCGCGAGGCGCCGGCGAGUAGGAGGGCGCGGGGCUCGCGGCGCAGCCUUGGGCGCGAGCCUGGGUGAAGCGGGCCCCGGUGCAGAUCUUGGUGGUAGUAGCAAAUAUUCAAAUGAGAACUUUGAAGACUGAAGUGGAGAAAGGUUCCGUGUGAACAGCAGUUGGACACGGGUGAGCCGACCCUAAGAGACAGGAAAACUCCGCCGAACGCGGCUGGUUCUGUCAGCCCGUCCGUCGAAAGGGAAUCGGGUUAAUAUUCCCGAGCCAGCGCGUGGAUGGUGGGCGGCGACGCGAACGAACCCGGAGACGCCGGCGGGAGCCCUGGGAAGAGUUCUCUUUUCUUCUUAACUGCCUCCUGCCCUGGAAUCGGUUUAGCCGGAGCGAGGGCUACACGGCAGGCAAAGCACCCUAAGUCUUGGGGUGUCCGGCGCGCUCCCGACGGCCCGUGAAAAUCCGGGGGAGCGGUUCGUUCUCACGCCUGGUCGUACUCAUAACCGCAUCAGGUCUCCAAGGUGAACAGCCUCUAGUCGAUAGAGCAAUGUAGGUAAGGGAAGUCGGCAAAAUGGUUCCGCAACCUCGGGAGAAGGAAUGGCUCUGAAGGCUGGGCGCAGGGGUCCUAGGCUCGAGGCCGGCUGGCUGCGCGGGGACUACGGCCUCACGGCUGCGGAUCCCGCGCGGCCGUCCGGCGGACGGCCUAGGAGCGCUCCGGCUCUCCCUGCGCGACGAACAGCCGCUUCAGAACUGGCGCGGACAAGGGGAAUCCGACUGUUUAAUUAAAACAAAGCAUUGCGAUGGCCCGCGAGGGUGCUGACGCAAUGUGAUUUCUGCCCAGUGCUCUGAAUGUCAAAGUGAAGAAAUUCAACCAAGCGCGGGUAAACGGCGGGAGUAACUAUGACUCUCUUAAGGUAGCCAAAUGCCUCGUCAUCCAAUUAGUGACGCGCAUGAAUGGAUUCGUGAGAUUCCCACUGUCCCUAUCUACUGUCUAGCGAAACCACAGCCAAGGGAACGGGCUUGGAAGAAUCAGCGGGGAAAGAAGACCCUGUUGAGCUUGACUCUAGUCUGUUACUGUGGAACGACUUGAUGGGUGUAGAAUAUGCGGGAGGGGCAACCCGACAGUGAAAUACCGCAACCGUCAACGUUGUUUUACUUACUCGGUGGCGCGGAGGGAGGCUCGCCUCACUUCUGGAUCCAAGCCGCUUCGUGCGCGCGAUCCGCGUCGGGGACACUAACAGGUGGGGAGUUUGGCUGGGGCGGCACGUCUGUUAAAAAAUAACGCAGGCGCCCGAUUUUGAGCUCAAUGAGAACAGAAAUCUCAUGUGGACCGAAAGGGGAAAAGCUCGGUUGAUUUUGAUUUUCAGUACGAAUACAAACCGCGAAAGCGUGGCCUAUCGAUCCUCUCGUCUUUGGGAAUUUCAAGCUAGAGGUGUCAGAAAAGUUACCACAGGGAUAACUGGCUUGUGGCUGCCAAGCGUUCAUAGCGACGUAGCUUUUUGAUCCUUCGAUGUCGGCUCUUCCUAUCACUGCCUCGCAGCGGGGGCCAAAUGCAGGAUUGUUCACCCACCAACAGGGAACGUGAGCUGGGUUUAGACCGUCGUGAGACAGGUUAGUUUUACCCUACUGCUGUCUGUUUUUCUACGGUAAUUUGGUUCAGUACGAGAGGAACCACCAAUUCGCAUCAUCGGUAUAGCCGCCGCCGGAAACGGCGAUGCGGCGAAGCUGCCAUGCGCCGGAUUAUAACUGAACGCCUCUAAGUUAGAAUCCAUGCCGGAAGGAAGCCACCUACCGGCCCGGGACGCCACGAGCAACGGUGCCGCAGCACUGCCUGAGCCGCGAGCGACCACAAUUCACGGACCCGGGCCGACGAAUCCCUUGCAGACGACUUGAAUAAGGAACGGGGUAUUGUACGCGGCAGAGUGGCCUUGUUGCCACGAUCCGCUGAGAUUCAGCCUUGGUUCUGACGAUUUGU
RNAcentral lists this ribosomal RNA (3260 nucleotides) under Emiliania huxleyi. Its description in RNAcentral is "Eukaryotic large subunit ribosomal RNA". It matches the Rfam family "Eukaryotic large subunit ribosomal RNA". The record is from Rfam by way of RNAcentral. Lineage: Eukaryota; Haptophyta; Isochrysidales; Noelaerhabdaceae.